This 70-nucleotide transfer RNA is filed under the name Anguilla anguilla (European eel). It matches the Rfam family "tRNA". From Rfam's summary of the family: Transfer RNA (tRNA) molecules are approximately 80 nucleotides in length. Their secondary structure includes four short double-helical elements and three loops (D, anti-codon, and T loops). Further hydrogen bonds mediate the characteristic L-shaped molecular structure. tRNAs have two regions of fundamental functional importance: the anti-codon, which is responsible for specific mRNA codon recognition, and the 3' end, to which the tRNAs corresponding amino acid is attached (by aminoacyl-tRNA synthetases). tRNAs cope with the degeneracy of the genetic code in two manners: having more than one tRNA (with a specific anti-codon) for a particular amino acid; and 'wobble' base-pairing, i.e. permitting non-standard base-pairing at the 3rd anti-codon position. Lineage: Eukaryota; Metazoa; Chordata; Actinopteri; Anguilliformes; Anguillidae. The record is from Rfam by way of RNAcentral.
GCAUUGGUGGCUCAGUGGUAGAGCUCUUGCUGCCAUGCUGGAGGCCCGGGUUUGUUUCCCGGCCAAUGCU